This is a non-coding RNA of Rattus norvegicus (Norway rat), 1107 nucleotides long. The record is from RefSeq and is a predicted model, not a curated record. Lineage: Eukaryota; Metazoa; Chordata; Mammalia; Rodentia; Muridae.
UCUGAUUUGCAGGACCAAGAAUCUUCUGUGACAUAAUCCUAGCAGUAGCCAAAGGGAACAGAGACUGCCCUGGCCCCUUCAGGUCGGACCUAUUGAGUUCCGCUGAACACUGAGGCUCUGUAUUCCACAUUGCUACGGAGGGCCAAGAGCCCAUCACAUGACUGACUGGGCUGAAAAAUAUCCUUUUUUUUGAACGAGAACUAAAGGCUCCCAGGUUCGCCUUAAAAACCACGUUGUUUAAACUGUGAAUUAAUGAACUCCAUGGUGAUUUGCUUAUUUCUUUGCUCACUUCACAACACAAAAUAGAAUUAAUUUGACACUGUCAUAACUUCCUAAUAUGAGGUGCACCAAGCCUAGAAUAAUUAAUUUUUCUCAGAGAAUGGAAUGUUCUGUUAGACUUGCCAUUGGGAACCUCCUGGGAGCUAACUCACAAAGGAGUGACAAGGUACAGGCUCCACCCUGAGUCAUCGAUUCCUCCCCCUGGGCUGGAAUUCAACCCAAGGCUGCAUUUGUGCUACUUGAGUGACCUGCCACUCAGGUGCACUCUCGGGUCUGGGGAAAGAAUUCCUGCAAAUGAGAGGCCGCCAUGUCUUCCAGGCUUCAGAUGCCGUUCGAAGGGUGCUGUGCUAACCUCGGUCUGAAUUACUUCACUCCUCCCUAACGUUCUGAAACAGACAGGAUUGUUACUGUCUCUAUCUAAAAGGUUAGGCCAGGAUUUGCCAUCACGACGCGGGUUUGACGUCAACUCUAGCAGAGAGGUGCUUAGGUGGCUGGUACCCUUGUCUGAGCUCAGCAUGCUGGAAAUGGCAGUGUGGCGGAGGGCUGACAGACGCCUUUGAUGACUCUAGGAGGACUUGAUAACGGGCGGGGAUUUCCCAAACUGAAGAAUGGAUCAGAAGGUGUACCCCUAGCUGCACUGGCUGUGGAAACAGAUGCACUAACUUCAGAACUUAAAGCGUCCUCUUCGGCUGCGGAGAGGGUUUCGCAGGUAAAGGCUCUUUCUGCCAAACUGACUCACAUGGAGAAAAGAACUAACCCUGUUGUCUGGUUUCCACAUGCACACCGUGACAUAAGAAUGCAGUCAAAAUAAAAAUAAAUAAAUGUAAA